This 819-nucleotide transfer RNA is filed under the name Bradyrhizobium japonicum. RNAcentral's name for it is "partial contains 16S-23S ribosomal RNA intergenic spacer, and 23S ribosomal RNA". The stretch from base 162 to 235 matches the Rfam family "tRNA". The record is from RNAcentral. Lineage: Bacteria; Pseudomonadati; Pseudomonadota; Alphaproteobacteria; Hyphomicrobiales; Nitrobacteraceae.
GCUUCUAUCGACCGUUUUAGAAACAUCAGUGGCCAACGAUCGUCAGGAUCGUUGAGCUGCAUUGGCGGGAUUUCGCCGUCUUCGUUUCUCUUUCUUCGCGGACGAACACGCGCUGGGCCUGCGAGAGCAGGGUCCCUGGUCCUUGACGGGAUAUGCGUUAGGGGCUUGUAGCUCAGUUGGUUAGAGCGCGCGCUUGAUAAGCGUGAGGUCGGAAGUUCAAGUCUUCCCAGGCCCACCACACUCAUCGGGUAAGCAUUCGUCUUCUGGUUACGGGGCCAUAGCUCAGCUGGGAGAGCGCGUGCUUUGCAAGCAUGAGGUCGUCGGUUCGAUCCCGUCUGGCUCCACCAGAUGGUUUGAUCACCGACGCUGUGUUUGCAGCUAUUCAACCGUCGUCCGCGAAACAUCACUUCGCACCUACUAGUCUGGAUAGACAGUAGGUUGCGUGAUUUCUGACAUCGUAAAGAGGAGAUCGAUCCGAGUUGGAUCGGGCAGCAAGCAAUUGCUGCGCGAACCUUCAUUAUCUCCGGAUCAUUUCGGCGCUCGCGCGCCUUUCAAUGCGGCUCACAAGGCUGCGUCUGAGGGGAAUGCGGGUUGUAAAUGAUCCUUUUAGCGAAGCUUGACCGCCUCGCUAUCGGAACGAUCUUACGAAGCAAGCUGGUCUUUCUAAUCAUUGUCCGGCUGUACGUAGCGUUCAUCGAGGGCGCGUGCCGCAAGGCAAUCGUACAGACAACAUUCUGCCGAGUGUGUGGACAUUGAUAAUGAGAGCAAUCAAGUGCCUUAAGGGUGUUCGUGGAUGCCUUGGCGCUGAGAGGCGAUGAA